This 946-nucleotide ribosomal RNA is filed under the name uncultured bacterium. Its description in RNAcentral is "bacterial SSU rRNA". It matches the Rfam family "Bacterial small subunit ribosomal RNA", at positions 38 to 986 of the family's 1533-position model. The record is from RNAcentral.
GGGNGCAGGCUAACACAUGCAGUCGAGCGGUAGAGAGAAGCUUGCUUCUCUUGAGAGCGGCGGACGGGUGAGUAAUGCCUAGGAAUCUGCCUAGUGGUGGGGGAUAACGUUCGGAAACGGACGCUAAUACCGCAUACGUCCUACGGGAGAAAGCGGGGGAUCUUCGGACCUCGCGCCAUUAGAUGAGCCUAGGUCGGAUUAGCUAGUUGGUGAGGUAAUGGCUCACCAAGGCGACGAUCCGUAACUGGUCUGAGAGGAUGAUCAGUCACACUGGAACUGAGACACGGUCCAGACUCCUACGGGAGGCAGCAGUGGGGAAUAUUGGACAAUGGGCGAAAGCCUGAUCCAGCCAUGCCGCGUGUGUGAAGAAGGUCUUCGGAUUGUAAAGCACUUUAAGUUGGGAGGAAGGGCAGUAACCUAAUACGUUAUUGUUUUGACGUUACCGACAGAAUAAGCACCGGCUAACUUCGUGCCAGCAGCCGCGGUAAUACGAAGGGUGCAAGCGUUAAUCGGAAUUACUGGGCGUAAAGCGCGCGUAGGUGGUUCAGUAAGUUGGAAGUGAAAUCCCCGGGCUCAACCUGGGAACUGCUUUCAAAACUGCUGAGCUAGAGUACGGUAGAGGGUGGUGGAAUUUCCUGUGUAGCGGUGAAAUGCGUAGAUAUAGGAAGGAACACCAGUGGCGAAGGCGACCACCUGGACUGAUACUGACACUGAGGUGCGAAAGCGUGGGGAGCAAACAGGAUUAGAUACCCUGGUAGUCCACGCCGUAAACGAUGUCAACUAGCCGUUGGGAGUCUUGAACUCUUAGUGGCGCAGCUAACGCAUUAAGUUGACCGCCUGGGGAGUACGGCCGCAAGGUUAAAACUCAAAUGAAUUGACGGGGGCCCGCACAAGCGGUGGAGCAUGUGGUUUAAUUCGAGCACGCGAGACCUUACCUGGCNUGACA